GUGUCAGCAGCCGCGGUAAAACGUAGGAGGCGAGCGUUAUCCGGAUUUACUGGGUGUAAAGCGCGUGCAGGCGGUCUGGGAAGUGGUGCGUGAAAGCGCCCGGCUCAACCGGGCGAGGCCGUGCCAAACUGCCAGGCUUGAGGUAGGUAGAGGCGUGUGGAAUUCCGGGUGUAGUGGUGAAAUGCGUAGAGAUCCGGAGGAACACCAGUGGCGAAGGCGACACGCUGGGCCUGACCUGACGCUCAGACGCGAAAGCAUGGGGAGCGAACGGGAUUAGAAACCCCGGUAGUCCAUGCCGUAAACGAUGUCGACUAGGUGUGGGGGUGUAACAGCCUCUGUGCCGCAGCCAACGUGAUAAGUCGACCACCUGGGGACUACGGCCGCAAGGUUAAA
RNAcentral lists this ribosomal RNA (393 nucleotides) under uncultured bacterium. RNAcentral describes it as "bacterial SSU rRNA". It matches the Rfam family "Bacterial small subunit ribosomal RNA", at positions 505 to 898 of the family's 1533-position model. The record is from RNAcentral.